GAGGUGGAAGGAUCACUUGAGCCUGGGAGGUCAAGGUUGCAGUGAGCUGUGAUCAUACCACUGCACUCCAGCCUGAGUGACAGAGCAAGACCCUGUCUC
This 99-nucleotide microRNA precursor is filed under the name Nomascus leucogenys (northern white-cheeked gibbon). RNAcentral's name for it is "miRNA (ENSNLEG00000034987.1)". Lineage: Eukaryota; Metazoa; Chordata; Mammalia; Primates; Hylobatidae. The record is from RNAcentral.